RNAcentral lists this transfer RNA (65 nucleotides) under Dipodomys ordii (Ord's kangaroo rat). It matches the Rfam family "tRNA". From Rfam's summary of the family: Transfer RNA (tRNA) molecules are approximately 80 nucleotides in length. Their secondary structure includes four short double-helical elements and three loops (D, anti-codon, and T loops). The record is from Rfam by way of RNAcentral. Lineage: Eukaryota; Metazoa; Chordata; Mammalia; Rodentia; Heteromyidae.
GGUGGCUUAGUGGUAGAGUGUUUGCCUUGCAAGCAUGAGGCCCUGGGUUCAAUUCCUCAGCACCA